This is a non-coding RNA of Pantoea wallisii, 123 nucleotides long. The record is from Rfam. NCBI's taxonomy places the organism in Bacteria, Pseudomonadati, Pseudomonadota, Gammaproteobacteria, Enterobacterales, Erwiniaceae.
GUCAAUACUACGUCCCCGGACGGUGCAAAGUAAACGAUGACCCACAGGGAACUCUGGGGUAAAAUACGUAUCAAAAUGCAAAACCGAACCUGACCCGGAAAGCUUUCCGGGUCAGGCUUCUUU